This 200-nucleotide long non-coding RNA is filed under the name Capsicum annuum. RNAcentral describes it as "long non-coding RNA (CANN_LNC011022)". The record is from RNAcentral. Lineage: Eukaryota; Viridiplantae; Streptophyta; Magnoliopsida; Solanales; Solanaceae.
GCUCGAUUGUCUUGCCUAGAUUGUAGGAUAGUUGGUUGGCAUAGUAUCAUCGUCCAUGUUUGAAAAAGUAAAUUUUUAGUCUAAAAGAUCAACCAAAUGAAAUAAGUAUCUCUUGAUCCCAAAUUUGAGCCUAAAGUGACCUAUUUUCUUGUUUAACCUAUUAACCACCCUUUUUAAUUACAAUGAAACUGUUUUAGCCC